GAUGAACGCUGGCGGCGUGCCUAAUACAUGCAAGUCGAGCGAACGGACGAGAAGCUUGCUUCUCUGAUGUUAGCGGCGGACGGGUGAGUAACACGUGGAUAACCUACCUAUAAGACUGGGAUAACUUCGGGAAACCGGAGCUAAUACCGGAUGAUAUUUUGAACCGCAUGGUUCAAAAGUGAAAGACGGUCUUGCUGUCACUUAUAGAUGGAUCCGGGCUGCAUGAGCUAGUUGGUAAGGUAACGGCUUACCAAGGCAACGAUGCAUAGCCGACCUCAGAGGGUGAUCGGCCACACUGGAACUGAGACACGGUCCAGACGCCUACGGGAGGCAGCAGUAGGGAAUCUUCCGCAAUGGGCGAAAGCCUGACGGAGCAACGCCGCGUGAGUGAUGAAGGUCUUCGGAGCGUAAAACUCUGUUAUGAGGGAAGAACAUAUGUGUAAGUAACUGUGCACAUCUUGACGGUACCUAAUCAGAAAGCCACGGCUAACUACGUG
RNAcentral lists this ribosomal RNA (497 nucleotides) under uncultured bacterium. RNAcentral describes it as "partial 16S ribosomal RNA". It matches the Rfam family "Bacterial small subunit ribosomal RNA", at positions 28 to 507 of the family's 1533-position model. The record is from RNAcentral.